AUUGAACGCUGGCGGCAGGCUUAACACAUGCAAGUCGAACGGUAACAUAAAGAAGCUUGCUUCUUUGAUGACGAGUGGCGGACGGGUGAGUAAUGCUUGGGAAUCUAGCUUAUGGAGGGGGAUAACUAUGGGAAACUGUAGCUAAUACCGCGUAGAAUCGGGAGAUGAAAGUGUGGGACCUUCGGGCCACAUGCCAUAGGAUGAGCCCAAGUGGGAUUAGGUAGUUGGUGAGGUAAAGGCUCACCAAGCCGACGAUCUCUAGCUGGUCUGAGAGGAUGACCAGCCACACUGGGACUGAGACACGGCCCAGACUCCUACGGGAGGCAGCAGUGGGGAAUAUUGCGCAAUGGGGGCAACCCUGACGCAGCCAUGCCGCGUGAAUGAAGAAGGCCUUCGGGUUGUAAAGUUCUUUCGGUAGCGAGGAAGGCAUUUAGUUUAAUAGACUAGGUGGUGACGUAACUACAGAAGAGCCCG
Molecule: ribosomal RNA, 474 nt
Filed under: Terrahaemophilus aromaticivorans
Lineage: Bacteria; Pseudomonadati; Pseudomonadota; Gammaproteobacteria; Pasteurellales; Pasteurellaceae
Description: bacterial SSU rRNA
Rfam family: Bacterial small subunit ribosomal RNA
Source: RNAcentral